GGAGUUGAUGUCCAUCAGGGUCACGUUCCGAGGCAAGGAGAGUCAAAACCUGGGGCAAGACGACUUCCCUCCGGAGAGUAGACGGGCCUGCUGGGAUACUCUGGGAUGACUGGGACGGUCGCUGGGCGGGGUUUCGGCGUUCCGCGGAACGCCGGGAAGGGGUCACUUCCAGAUCAAGGUUCCGGUUCCGGUGCAGGCGGUGGUGUGUUGCUACGGCAGCGCGGUUGGCAGGCUCCUAGUUCCUGCAUCAGGGGUGGUGGCGGGGCUGGAGCAAACUUGGGUCGCUGUUUCCAGCCGCGUUCCUGGCUUAGGCCCUGACUUCGUUCAUUCGUGCUGUAUCCUCAGUACAUAGAACCGUGCUUGGAAAGUGGCAAGUGCUCACAUUAGUGGAAGGAAUGAUUCUGGAAGAGCGGGGCUCUGGGAAAUCGCUACUGAUCUGCAAUCUUGGAGCCGCACUGGGUUGGUGGUACCCCAGAGCACACCAGACUUGCAGAAAAAGCAGACUCCAGAGGAAGCUGAGGCAUGACUGCUCAAGAGCCAGCAGUUCCAUGUGCAAUUUUCCUCUGAUAGUUCUUGGGUACUGUUGCCACGGUGAUAAUGGCUGUGCCGUGUCAUUAUCUAUCACCCGACAGUAAGAGAAACUUUUGCAGUCAGAUAUUGUUUAACAGAUGGAGUGGUUUCUGUUGGACACUAAGUACUGCUACAGACUACUUUAAAAUAAAAAGUAG
Vicugna pacos (alpaca) is the source of this 728-nucleotide non-coding RNA. Lineage: Eukaryota; Metazoa; Chordata; Mammalia; Artiodactyla; Camelidae. The record is from RefSeq and is a predicted model, not a curated record.